UACGUAGGGUGCGAGCGUUGUCCGGAAUUAUUGGGCGUAAAGAGCUUGUAGGCGGCUUGUCGCGUCUGCUGUGAAAAUCCGAGGCUCAACCUCGGACUUGCAGUGGGUACGGGCAGGCUAGAGUGUGGUAGGGGAGACUGGAAUUCCUGGUGUAGCGGUGAAAUGCGCAGAUAUCAGGAGGAACACCGAUGGCGAAGGCAGGUCUCUGGGCCACUACUGACGCUGAGACGCGAAAGCGUGGGGAGCGAACAGG
This 253-nucleotide ribosomal RNA is filed under the name uncultured bacterium. RNAcentral describes it as "partial 16S ribosomal RNA". It matches the Rfam family "Bacterial small subunit ribosomal RNA", at positions 524 to 776 of the family's 1533-position model. The record is from RNAcentral.